This 12887-nucleotide long non-coding RNA is filed under the name Ananas comosus (pineapple). Its description in RNAcentral is "long non-coding RNA (ACOM_LNC024377)". The record is from RNAcentral. Lineage: Eukaryota; Viridiplantae; Streptophyta; Magnoliopsida; Poales; Bromeliaceae.
UUGUCAAAAAAAGCAGUCAUGGUCAUUGGAGUACCACUGUAAUGUACUAGAUUAUAAUAUAAAAAUUAAGUGUAAAUAAAAAUAGUGUGAGAUACUAUUUUUAUUGGACUUAAGGAAAUAAAAUGUAAGUCUGGAAUGACUUGUACUGAAAUCGGAAUAAAAACAGGAGAUUUAGAAUUUUUUGUGAGAAACGGGACUGGUAUUUUUAGCUGAAAAUGCACAGUGUCAGAAAAUUAUGAAAAUAUGAAAAUAUGUCGGGAUUAUUUUUGUAAGGCUAGAUUUAAAGUUUCAUAUCAUUCUGACACCCGAAAAGUGAAAAAUAAAAUCCGACUGCUAUUUGCUAGAGAUUACAGUUCGGUAGAACUUUCGGUGACCAAAAAUGGUCGAAACUGGAAAGUUAAGAUAUUUUCUUGUUUAUUAAGAGAAACCAAGCCUGACUGUCAAAUUUGAACGAAAACGGACAUUCAGAAGGGCUGGCGAAAAGUAUUUGAUCCUGAGCUGUUAAAAUGCUAGUGUGAAUAGUGUUUUGAGGGUGUCUAUAGAGAUAAUAAUUCUUGGGUUCCCUCCGGAGCCUCCCCGCGUUUGGCGGGGGGCUUCGACGGGACCCCCUCUUUUUUUUUCGGCUUUCUCUCUCCCUCUCUCUCUCUACCCCCCUCCCCGGCUCCCACUCUCUCUCUCUCUCCCCCCUCUCAUNNNNNNNNNNNNNNNNNNNNNNNNNNNNNNNNNNNNNNNNNNNNNNNNNNNNNNNNNNNNNNNNNNNNNNNNNNNNNNNNNNNNNNNNNNNNNNNNNNNNCAUCAGGGUGUGGAAAGUCAACCCAUAUUAGGAGAUAAUGGUUCAAACUUUUUUUUUUUUUCUCUCAGGGACAAUUUUUUGAUCGUUUUUAACCUUGUCUUCAAUUCCAUGCAUGGUAUUUAUCUUCCUAGUUAUUGCAGUUGUUCGGCUGAAUUUACGUGAGCAUUUGUUUUUGGAAGUUGUGUUACUCCUUAGAUCUCUCUACAAUUACUCGGAUUUUAAUUUUAUCUCUUGAAAAUUAGUGUCUACUGUAGCAGUUUAUUUUACGCUAGAAAGUUUGUUGAUGGUGUGAAUUUUCUUUGGCAUCUAUAUGUUUUGGUGGGUAUAAAUUGACCCCUCAACUUCUCUGUGCGUAGAGGGUAGCAAUCAGUAUGCUAGCCUCUGUUGAUCGGGUUAAAUGAGUUUCUGAACUUCCAGUCAACUUCAAUUAGGUCCUUGGACCUUCGGUUCAACAUUGGGAACUCUUUUUGGUGGUCUUGCCUUUAGUUUUGAUUAGAGUGAAUAUUGUUGGCUGCUGGCUGCAGCUGAUGCAUUUGACAUACAUGUGUUUGUUUGGGUGAAAAUGAGGGGGAAGUGGAGAAGGGGGAAGUUGUUUACGCCGUAAACUAUCACUUCCGUUGUUUGUUUUGCCGUAAUUUUAUUACGGCUGAAAGUCGAGUUCACCCUUCCACGGGGCGAAGUCAAUUCCGGUGAAGUGCAAAGAAGCAAAGGAGCUUGUUAAAUUUGGUUAGGUAAGGUGAUCAAAUUUAGUUAGGCAAGUUUUAAUAUAUUUUUUGUCUAAUUUGUAUAUUUAGAAAAUGAUGAAAAAUGAAUUUGUUAAAUGUUAAUAAUUUUUUAACUUUAGAAUUUUAUUUGUUGCAUUAUUAUAAUUUAUAUGCAAACAAAUAAUAUAAUUUUUUUAAAAUUUUAUUUUAUAAUUAUACAUAUAUAUAAUUAUAUUAAUUUUUAUUUAUUAUAAUUUAUUAUUCACUAAGUUACAAAAUAGAUAAUAAUAUCACUUCGGAGGUAAGUAUACCGGUGAUGGAGAGCUACAUUUUUUACUUCCUACCAAACAAAGAACAGAACUGUACUUUCAUAGUUAGAAACAAACAGCGGAAGUGAAUUAAUUUUCGCCUAAACUUCAUUUCAACCCAAAGUCCACUUUCAUCCCAAGUCUCUUACGUUGGAACAAACAUGUCCCGUACAAGGCUGUCACCCUUUACCUAGGGGUGUAUACGAUCGUAUUUUGGCGAAAUCAUAUCCGUAUUUAUAUUUUGCAAAGUUUUCGUUAUCAUAUCUGCUUUAAAUGAAUUCGGAUUUGUAUUCAAGUCUUAUUUGCUUUCACAUAUUAUUCAAAUAAUAUACAAUAAUGUGCAUAUAUAAAUAUAGUGUAGAGCUAAUAUGCUAUCGGAAGUAUAGAGGAUUUGAUGCUUUCGAUUUUUUAACUCUUGGAUCAAGAAUUAUACGGUUUGGAUGAUUUCGGUCCUUUCUAGGGCUGAGUAAUACCUCUGAGGUUGAGUGGUCCCCACAGGAUAAUAGAAUUAAUUCAAAGGUUAUAAAUGAUUAAAUAAAAUGAUAUAAGGGCCAAAAAGUCAGAAACACAAAAUCAUCUAUGCUUUCGAUAGUAUAUGCUUUCGAUAGUAUAGUAGUUCUACUCUAUAAAUAUAAAUAUAAAUUAAGAUUAACGCAAAUAAGAAACGCUAUGCAAUUAAAGAUGGCCAAUUUGCAUAAAAAAUUCACUUAUUUUGGGCUUUUGCAAAACUGGGCCAUAUUUUUCGGUUUUGCAGAUUCGGUCCGUUUUUUCAGCAAACUGACCAAAAUACCAUUAUUAUUUUUUCUCUUUCCUCUUUCUCUCUCCUCUUCGUUUCUCUUUUUUUUUUCUCGCUGAAAAAAGUAACGAAAGCAGAGGCGUAGGCGGAAAUGGUCCGCCUCGCCUCUCACCCUCAUGCUCUCUCGCCCUUGCCCUCGUCCAUGCACCCCCCACCUUCCUCGCCUCCGACCCCGCCAAGGCCGCGUCGCGACUUUUUCUUUUCUGCUUUUUUCUUUUCUUUUCUUUUCCGACUCUUCUUCACCGUCUCCGACGACGACGCCUCUCUCGCCCUUCCCCGCCCUUCUCAUCUCUCCCUCUCGCUCAUUUUCUGCCGCCUCCGACGAUGAUUUAUCUUCGCCGGCGCCGACGUCGACACCGCAGAGGUCACUGCGGCGCUACAGCCUCGGAGCGGGGGGUCCUUAGCGGCGUCAUCACCGGCGCCAUAGCUGUUGGCAGAGAAGGUGACAAAAAAAAAUAUAGACAAAAACAAAAAAGAAACAUAACAGAAAGAAAAUUAUAAGAACCAAGAAGGAUGAAGAUGAAAUUACAUCGUUAACUGCAAAAAAUUAUAGUUGGUACUACGCUAAGAUGUAAACUCGCACGCUUUAAGAUGAAAAAUCUAACACUCUUCUAUGAAAGCGAAAACAUUACAGCUCUUCUGAGGAUAGAAUAUUUGCACCUCUUUCAGAUGUCAAACUUGCAUGCAUUUAAAGAAUGAAAGUUACACUCUUUAAACCAGCAAAUUGCACUAAUUGUCUCUCUUGUCUGGCACCAAUUUUCUCUCUUAUGUAUACUAUUUUUGUAUCUUAAAACUCGCACACACAUCUUACGAAAUAACGCUUAAUACUGUUCCCUUCUUGCCUUGCAUGCCUGCGUUUCUCCCUCUUGUCUGCGGCAUCGGCCAUUUCUCCUUCGUUACACUAUGUUUUUAAUCUGUAAACGGCACCCCUUUUAAACGGAGCAUCACUUUCAGUACCCGCGUUUCUCCCUCUUGUUGCGCUAUUUUUUCUCCUUGCUUGCACCCUAAUUUCUUCCUCCAUCUCUGUGUGCACCUACUUCUGUCUCUCUCGUGCUCAGUAACACAGCAGGGACAACCUAAGUGCCAACAACGGAAGCCCGGAAUAGAAACAGCUUGCAGACAAGAGCUAGCAACAACAAUAAAGUAAUCACAGUUGUCUUCAAAGAGGUGAUUUAAGAUCAAACACAAACGUAAUGGUGGUAACAGCGAAGAGAAUGUACGCAACAAGAGGAGAAAACCAGUGCAACCAAGAGGAGAAACAAGCCUUAAAAUCAUCUCUUCAAAGAGGUGCAGUUUACAGACAUAAAAAACAGUAAUACAGAGGAAAAAAGCUGCGUGCCACACAACAGGAGUAAACAUGGAACAACGAGGAGACACUACGAAUACCUUCUUUAAAGGGGUGCAGUUUUAAGAACUAAAAAACAUACGGUGUAGACAAGAGGGAAGAACAGGUGGGCAACGAAGAGGCAGGAAAACGAGCUCGCAGACUUCGGCUGUGUAAAGACGUGUGCGAAGUCGUUUAGUCUUAAUGGAUACGGGACCAGGUGUUACCAGCUUUGAAAGGUGCAAUAAAACGAGACAAAAAACAGUGUAAAAUCAUGCUCGCCAACCGAAGUGCUAAUUUUUAUUUAAAGAGUGUAAUUUUCAUCUUAAAGCUGCAGUUUACAUCUUAAGUAGUGCAACCUAUGUCCAUAAUAGUGCAACGUUUUUUGAACAGUGCAAUUUCAUCUUCAUCUUUCUUUUUUUAUAAUUUUUUAUCUUUAUUUUUUUUUCUUACUUCUUCUAUAAUUUUUUUGGUCACCCAUCUCUGCCCAUGGCCACAGCGCCGGCGACGACGCCGCUAAGGACCCACGCUCCGAGGCUGCAGCAUCGCAGUGACCUCCACGGUCUCGGCGUCGGCACCGGCGAAGAUGUAUCGUCGUCGGAGGCGGCAGAGGAGGAGAGAGAUGGGGAGGACGAGAAGGGCGGAGAAGGGCAAGAAAGGCGUCGUCGUCGGAGACAGUGUAGGAGAGUCGGAGAGGUUAAAAAAAAAAAAAGAGUCGCGGUGCGGCCUCAGCGGGAUCGGAGGCGAGGAAGAUGGGGAUGUGCGGGUGAGAGUAAGGAUGCGCCGGACAAAAUCGAAGCAGGCCGCCUCCGCUCUGUCUCUGCGGCUCUCUGGGAAGAGAAAGAAAAAAAAGAACGAGAGAAAAAAGAGGAGAGAGAAAAAGGUAUAAGGCCGCCUCCGCUCCGUCUCCGCCACUCUCUGGGAAGAGAAAGAAAAAAGAACAAGAGAAAUGAAGAGGAGAGAGAAAGAGGAAAGAGAAAAAGGUAUAAGGGUAUUUUGGUCAGUUUGCUGAAAAAGCGGACCGAAUCUGCAAAAACGAAAAAUGUGGCCCAAUUUGCAAAAGUCCAAAAUAAGUGGAUUUUUUAUGCAAAUUGGCCAUUAAAGAUUAAUGCUCUCGUUUUUCAAAUUCAUGUAUCUACUAGUGUAGCUACCCGCGCAAUGCGGCGGGUAGAUUUUAUCAAAGUAAUUUUUGUUUGUGAUUGUGGAUCCUCGAUGAUAGCCCAAAAUAGACAGAUAAAAUUUUUAAUAAAAAUUUAUAGAUUAAGUCAAAGCUGUAAAAUACGAAAUUAUCAAUUUCCAAUGGCUAUUCUUCCAGCAUUGUAUUUAUUUUUCAUUCUACAUAUGCAAACUAAUAAUAACUAACACAUUCUAUAUAAUUCAUGUAAAUUUAUAAGUUACUAAUUUUUUUGCUCAAAAUUCAGCAUAGUAUAUAGCCUCUUUUAUUAUUUUCUCUACAAACUUGGACAACAGGACAGUAGUCCUACCUAGGUAGAUUUAAGGAAAAGUCUAUGAAAAAAAUAUUAUUUUUCAUUGAAAGAAAAGGGCAAAAAAAAAGAUAAAACAAAAAGAUAAAAAAAAGAAAAAAUCAUUAAUAUUCUUUUUUUUUCAGCAAAACUUGAUAAGGAAAAAGAAGCUAAUAACUAUGGGGAAACACAAAAGUUGCUUUAUAAAAGGUCCGUGAGUAAGUUGUGGGCCGCUAUUUCUUUGACAACUAACUCUUCUUUUCUUUUUCUAUAAACCAUAAUUUUAGAUGAACACUUGGCUAAAAAAAAAGAAGAAAAAUUAAUUUUUAAAGUGAAACCAAGCACAAAAUUAGAAAACUAUUGCAACACCAUAAUAAGGAGAAAUAAUGUAACUAUAUUGAAACAAACAUAGAAAACACAACAAAGCAAAUCGAAACAAACCAACAUUAGAUCAAUGCAACCAUGUCAAUAUAGUAAAUUCAAUUGAAGUGUAAACCUCAACCAAAGUACAGCAAAGAUUAGAAAACAGAGGGAGCAAACUGCACACCGGGCACAUCAGGCAAACCUCAAAGAUUCUCUAAGAACGAUUGCAAGUUCAUACCUUCUCUUAAUCUUAUACUCAUAGCAAGAAUAGUGAAAAUGUUGGAAUGUUGUAACAUUCUAAAGUUCAAUUGAUGAAUUCUAUAGAAAUAAGCAAAGCUUCUAAAAUAAACUUAACUGAAAAUUGUCAUGCAAUCCAAUAUGCCCAUUCUAUAUAGAGAAAGGAAAAAAAAAUUAAUCAUAUUUGCAUUUCACAAUAUAAACUAAGACUGAAAAGAUAACAAAAUAAAUGAUACAAAAAUGACUAAGGACCUCAGAAUUGUUAGUUUCCAUUAAAAAAUUUUGAAGAAAAUAUUAAUUCUCAACCGCAUAAAAUAAUAUCAAGACCAGCUUUAAAGUUCACUGAUCAGAAAACAAACAAAAGCAACAACAAUGAAUAGUAACAGCAAUAAAACGAUAAAUGUGAAUAGCAAUUUGAAGAAGAAAUUAAAAAAAGGUCAACUAAAAAUUUGAAGGCUUUAAACCCAUUGCAGCUCCAACCCUUCUUUCAAACCUAUUAAAAAUCACCAUAAACAAAAACAAAUUAUUUUAGAGAAGAUAUAUACUCUCUUGUCAAAAGGUGUGUUUAUCACUGCGACAACAUAACAUAACAAUUCUCAACCACAAUUUUGUAUUUAAUCAUUGACGAACAGAUAAGAGGAUGUGUUUUUCACACAGCAAAACAAAAAUAAAUAAAUUAUGAAACAUUACAUCAGGUUAGUGAAACAUUACGUAACAUUAAACAAUAAAAUUGGCAAAGGAAAUGAUGAGGGUAGUAACAUAGUUUCAUUUUAAGUUCAGAACAAAAAGAAAAACUUUAAUAGCAUUAGUUUCUAUUUUAGUUUUUGCAAAAGUAAAACAAAGUAAUAUAGAAGUAGAGACUAGUAAUAUGCCUUCAAUUAGUCACACAAUAUCAUAAUAACUAACCCAUGUGAAUAUUCUAAAAGCCUAUUUUGCAAACACAUACAAAGCUGUCACCUAAAACACACAAAAACUAAUUAAUUAAGAAUUAACCCUCAGUCAGAAUAUGAAAAGGUAAUUCUUUAUAAACUAAUUAUAUAUUAAGAAAAUAUAACUUGUAUAAUUAUAGAGGACAUACCUUUGCAAAUCUAAGUUGCUCAUAUGUGAGGGUUCGAGGUUACGACUCUCUCGACAAUUUUCUCUCCAUUUUCAUAUCCAAUUAAUCCAUUAUCUUAAACAUGCAAAGGGGAAAAAAAAUAUUGUGAAGCUUCACAUCGCAACUGGUCCUCCACUUCAGUUCUUCCAACUACUAAAGAAUCAAAAAAGGUUAACAUCUUAAAUGUCAUCACAUUAUUUUGAAGAAUCCCAAUGUACGAACUGAUCAGGAAUGGCAUUUUGAAAUAGCCCACUUUUAAUUUAGUUUUUUCUAAUUGAUGUUCCUUUUAACUUUAAUUAAUUUAUUCUUAUUAAAUUUAAUGGAUGGAUUACCUAUUACCUGUUAUUAUUCCAAUUUUGUCUACUUAAAAAAAUAAAACUAUUAAUUUUGAUUUAAAAAUGGCCAAAAUUUGUAUCAAAUUGUCAUGAGUUUGAUGUAAUUUUUUAUUUAUUCAAUUUAAAAUACUUAACUAAUUAAAAAUACUUAAUUUAAAAAAAUAAAAUUUAAGAGGGCUCAAUACAAAGAGUUAAAAUUAAAGGACUAUUUCAAUAUGACCUACAGUUCACCAAGUCCCAGAGCAUUUCUUUUCCUUAAUUAAACUAAAAUAGUUUAGUCUAAAAUAAGGAUUAAAAAAUAAUAAUGAAAAAGAGCUUAUAUGAAGACCAUUCAAUGAAUUAAGUAACUUUUUUAGUAAAAAAUUUAAGAAAAUGAAAAAACAAAAUACAAUUACCUGCAACUUAUUCUUUUAUUUGAGAAUCAAUAAUCUGCAAAAUCCUCGAGCUUCUUUGCAACUCCGUUAAGAUCCGCCAUGUCGAUGUCGACGCAAAAUCCAGAGAUAAUAAGGUAUCACAUACCACAAACACUAAGCAAGGUAUUAUAAAAAAAAAUCCUAUAUUUACCUCUAAUUGUUAAAUUUAUAGCUUUAAUGUAUCUUAAUUUGUGAGAGGUUACCUUGUCGAGGCAAUCGAGAUGAUUGAGCAAUUUGACUAAGGAGAGGACCAAGAUGUGUAGGUUCUUAUGCUCUAAUCUAUACAUAGUUUGGUGGCAGAGCGUAGAGGGAGGUGAGGAGGGCGUGCGUCUGCGCGAGGUUGGGGAGAGGACGCGGAUGGGGAACGCGAGCGGGAUUUUUUUUUUGGUGCGGGGGGCAGGAGAGAGAGAGAGAGAAAGAGAGGGAGUUGGGGGAACGCGGAUGGGGAAGGCGAGCGGGAAGAUGAAGGGAUCGGAGAGCGGCGCUGCAAAACGUUCAACCCAUGAUGGAUUAAUCCAAAAUCGAAAACGGCGAUGAAGGAAGACGAAACAACGAUGUAAGAAACCGCAGCGGGGAGAGAGAUCCAUCCUUUGAUUUCGGCGACGAAAACGGCUGAAACGGAAGAGGAAACGGCGAAAGAAGAAGUGGCACCGAGGGAAAGGACCAAUCGUGGGAAGAGGAAGAGGGAUGUUCGGCAGAAAGUUACAGUCCAGGGUUUCGAUUCGUGCAAAGAAAAAGUGAACCGGGUUAGGUUCAAGCAAAGAAAAAAAAAAUUAGCCGGUUCGGGCAGGUUCUCUUGGUUUGGUUCAAAAAGAGAAAAAGAAACCUGGUUCAAUUCAAACAAAAAGGAGAACCCGGUUCAGUUCAAGCCGAAAAAAGCAAAAUUUGAGCUAGUUCGAACAUGUUGACCCAAAAACAAAGAAGAGGAAACUCAGUUCGAUUCAAACCAAAAAAGCGCAAAACUCUAGCCGGUUCGAGCAUGUUGACCCGGUUCAGUCAAAAAAGAUAGAAAUAGAUAGGAAACUUGAGCGGUUCUAGUUGGCACGCACACUAAACAAUUCGGUUCGGUUCAAGUAAGAAAAGAUAAAAUAUGUGAAGGAUUUGAGCCGGUUCGGGUUGGCACCCAUAUUAAACAAUCCGGUUCGGUUCAAAUAAGAAAUAGAUGUGAAGGAUUUGAGCCGGUUCGGUUCAAGUUAGGAAUAGAUGUGAAGGAUUUGAGCCGGUUCGAAUUGGUGCCUACACUCAACAACCUGGUUCAAGAUUAUGAGAAAAACCAAACAAAGGAAAUGACGCCACGUGGCAAGAUUAUGAGGAAUAAUGAUAAGGAAUAGAUAGUUUAUUCAAUAAAAUUUAAUAUUUUAAUAAAAUAUACAUAUGAUUUUAAUGCGAAAAUUUUUAGUAAAAUAAAGGCCUUUUUGCAUAAAAAGUUCACUACUUUUUGAGUUUUUAUAAAAUUGACCACUAUUUUAGAUUUUACAGAUGCAGCCCAAAUUUUUAGUAAACUGAUUAAAAUAUUUUUAUUCUUUUUUCUCUUUCCUUAUUUUUUACUUGUCAGUCCGCCUGUUUUUAUCGUUUCUUCCUCUCCUCCUUCGUCGCCCCUACAUUGAUGUCGUGUUCUGUCCUUUUUUUAUUUUUUUUGGUAUGCUCAAUCGUUUCUUUCUUCCGCUCCGGUUCAUCUCCUUCUCAUUGUUUCUUCCUCCACUUCUUCUCCUGCUUUCUCUCCUUCUCUUCCUCCUCCACAGCCCCUACAUUGACGCCAUGCUUCGUUCUCUUACUCCGCCCACAUAUCUAUCUACACUAGCUUGGAUAUGAUAUAGAUCACGGAGGUGAGUUUACAACGGAGCGUAUGGCCACGGAUGGCGACGGCGACAAAGAUAUAUUUAAAGGCGACGGAAAGGGAGAGCACGUUGGGUGUGGCUGUAGCCGAGGGUAAGGGAGCGGGCGCGAUCCAAAAAAAUAAGAGGGUGAAAAAAAAGAGAAAGAAUAAAGGAAUUUUUUUUCUCUUGUGAAGACCAUUAUGUGUCAUCGCUACUAAGAGAAGAAGAAGAUGAAGUCACACAGUUUGAGACAAAAUUGCACUGUUUAAGAUGAAAAUUACACUCUUUCAGGCGAAACUUGCACUCUUUCAGGCAAAAAUUGCACUCUUUUAAGCAACAAUUAUACUAUUUUAGAUGAAAGUUGUAUUAUUUAAGUGAAGUUGCAUUGUUUAAUUCAAGGGCACAUUCUUUGAGCGAAAAUUGCACUUUUUAAACAAAAGUUGUACUGUUUGAAAAUAAAAUUGUACUUCUUGAGACAAGUUGCACUCUUUGAGUAAAAAUUACAUUGGAUAAAACUUGCACUCUUUGAGCGAAAGCUAUACUAUUUGAGACCAAAGUUAGAUUCUUUGAGCGAAAGUUAUACUAUUUAAGCGAAAGUUGCACAGUUUGAGACGAAAAUUACAGUUUUUGAACGAAAGUUGCACUAUAUAAAAUAGAACUUAUACUUUUUUAGACUAAAUUACACUAUUUAAAAUUAUUUGAGACUAAGUUACAUUAUUUGAGACUUAGUUUUAAAUAUUUUAAAUGAUGUAAGUCUCAAACCGUGUUAAUUAGUCUCAAAUAAUGCAACUUAGUCUCAAACGAUAUAACUUUUAUUUUGUGUGGUGCCAUUUCGUCUCAAAUAAUUUUAAAUGCUCUAAUUUUUGCUCGAAGAGCGAAACUUUCAUCUCAAACAGUAUAACUUUCGCUCAAAGAGUGCAAAUUUUGUCUCAAGCAGUGUAAUUUUUUUGUCAAAGAGUACAACUUCGAUUUAAAGAGUGCAAUUUUUAUCCAAAGAGUGCAACUCUAUUCGUCACAUUCAGUUUCAACCGUACAGUAGAUCAAGAGACCUUAACUGGUCCAUGGUAAAAUCUCUAAACAUAAAGAGUUUUCGGUUAGAUUAAUUUUUGCAUAGUAAUAUGAGAAUGAUCCACCAGCAAUGGUGUCUGCCACGAACGAACCGGUCCCGCCGUAGGUUGUUUCUAAGACGAGUGGUCAUUCAUGGUAGAGGUAAAAUUUGUUUAUGUUUUAUUUUGAAAUCAGAAUUAUAGGUUCAUGGCUUCCAACAGACUCAAGAAUCUGUUGUUAAUUACCCCACACUUUCGGUGUUAAGGAACCCUCGAUUAAGAGACCAAAUAUAAAUGCUGAUAAUAAAAGAGACAAAACAGGCAAAUAAAAUUUUAUUGAUAUGAUUUGCCGUUUACAUGGCUUAAGCAGGGGCAUUCCCCCACUGUAUAUGAAUUUUAUCAGACUAAAUGUCCAAUCUAGCGAAGAAGUUUUGAUUUAUUGAAUCCUAAGUAUAUGUAUUAGGAUUCAGUUGGAUUUGAGAUUGACUAGAUCCUAAGUAUAUGUGUUAAGACCUAGUCGAUCUUAGACUUUAUGUAUUAGAGUCUAAUUGGCUCUAAGUAUAUGUCUUAGAGUCCGAUUAUAUUCACCUUGGUUGUAUGUUCCAAGGUGGAGAUGUGACCAGACCUCAAGUAUAUGUAUUGAGGUGGGUCGAAUUACCCGAAAGUGGAGAGUGGCUAAUUCCCGAGUAUAUGUAUCAGGAUUAACCGAGUUUCACUCUAGUUAUAUGUGCUAGAAUGAAGGUCUGACUAAGCCCUAAGUAUAUGUAUUAGGGGUAGUCGGAUUUGAACUCUAAGUAUAUGUAUUAGAGCUCGAUCGGGUAAGGAUUUCACUCUAGGUAUAUGUGCUAGAGCAAAAGGCUGACUAGACCCUAAGUAUAUGGGUUAGGACUAGUCGAGCACGGUUUGACUUCCACUCUAGGUAUAUGUGCUAGAGCAAAAGACUGACUAGACCCUAAGUAUAUGUGUUAGGGUUAGUCGAAUGAACUCUAAGUAUAUAUGUUAGAGUUCGAAUAAACUUGAUAUCAUUUGACUGAAUUCUAAGUAUAUGACUUAGAACUCUGUCGAUUUGGAGAUGUUUUGCCUUAGUUAUAUGUGCUAAGGCGAUUGACUUAGCCCUAAGUAUAUGUAUUAGGGGUAGUCGAUAUUUAAUUUUUACUCUAGGUAUAUGUGCCAGAGUAAAAAAAAGGUUCACGAUGAGAUUUGGGUAUUGGUUCAUGAGAUUUGAGUAUUGGCUCAUGAGAUUUGGUUCAUGAAUUUGGAUAUGGUUCAUGAAUUUGGUGUAUGGACUUGGUUUAUGAACUUGGAUAUGGUUCAUGGAUUUGGUGUACAGACUUGGUUCAUGAACUUGGAUAUGGUUCAUGGAUUUGGUGUACGGACUUGGUUCAUGGUUCAAGAAAUUUGGGUUUAGUUUAACGACUUUUCGGUCGUUUGGAUUUGGAUUUAGUUUAACGACUUUUCGGUCGUUUGAAAUUUGGGUUUAGUUUAACGACUUUUCGGUCGUUUGAAAUUUGGGUUUAGUUUAGCGACGUUUCGGUCGUUUGAGUUAAAUAUCAUGAAAUUGGUUCAUGAAAUUAAUUUAUGCUCGGAGCCCAUUUAUAAAGUCCAUUGAAUUAAUUGAUGAAAUUAAUUCAUGAUAGGGGGCAUUUGGAGAGCCCAUUGAAUUGGAAGGCCCGUUAGUUCAUGAAGUUAAUUUAUGACAAAGAGGCCCAUGAAAUUAAUUCACAGAAUUAAUUCGUGAUAGAAGGGCCUAUGAGGGAAACCUAUGAAAUUAAUUUGUAGAAUUGAUUUUAUGAUAAGAGGCCCAUUUAGAAAGCCCAAGAAAUUAAUUCGAGACAUAGGUUUGGUAGAUUUGGUUGGGUGUUAUUUAUGGACUUUAGAUUUUGGAUCUUUGGGUUUUGGAUCUUUAUUUGUAGACUUUGGAUUUUUUGGGAGUUUGUUUGUGAACUUUGGGUUUGGGAUUUUAUUUGUGAACUCUGGGUUUUGGAAUUUUUAUUUGUGGGCUUUGGGAUUUUUGGAAUUUUAUUUGUGGACUUUGGGAUCUUUGUGAUUUUAUUUGUGGACUUUGGAAUUUUUUUUGGAUUUUAUUUGUGGACUUUUGGAUUUUUGGGAUUUUAUUUGUGGACUUUGGGAUUUUUUAGACUUUGGGUUUUGGAUCUUUGGGUUUUGGGUUAAGAAAUUCAUUCAUAUGAAUU